RNAcentral lists this ribosomal RNA (494 nucleotides) under uncultured bacterium. RNAcentral describes it as "bacterial SSU rRNA". It matches the Rfam family "Bacterial small subunit ribosomal RNA", at positions 518 to 1009 of the family's 1533-position model. The record is from RNAcentral.
CGGUAAUACGUAGGGCGCGAGCGUUGUCCGGAAUUAUUGGGCGUAAAGAGCUUGUAGGCGGUUGGUCGCGUCUGCUGUGAAAGGCUGGGGCUUAACCCUGGUUUUGCAGUGGGUACGGGCUAACUAGAGUGCAGUAGGGGAGACUGGAAUUCCUGGUGUAGCGGUGGAAUGCGCAGAUAUCAGGAGGAACACCGAUGGCGAAGGCAGGUCUCUGGGCUGUAACUGACGCUGAGAAGCGAAAGCAUGGGGAGCGAACAGGAUUAGAUACCCUGGUAGUCCAUGCCGUAAACGUUGGGCACUAGGUGUGGGGGACAUUCCACGUUUUCCGCGCCGUAGCUAACGCAUUAAGUGCCCCGCCUGGGGAGUACGGCCGCAAGGUUAAAACUCAAAUGAAUUGACGGGGGCCCGCACAAGCGGUGGAGCAUGUGGUUUAAUUCGAUGCAACGCGAAGAACCUUACCUACUCUUGACAUCCAGAGAAUUCGCUAGAGAUAG